UCUAUGGCAGCCAGGGGUUCUGGAUCACAAGGAUGGGGAGUGUGUCAAGUACUGGAGAAUGAGUCUAGACAGCACUGUGUUAGGUCUGCUGCUGAAGAUUUUAAUCCUGUUCUAAGGAAAUGGUUUCCUUGGCUUUACGCAUGAAGACAGCUGCCGACGUCUGAAAGCAAGUCAAAGAUUUUAAUAGAAAUAAAACCAGAGGGUUCACAAAGGCUUGGAAACCACUGCUACCCGUUUUGAAAGAAGUACAAAUUGACCACCAACCAAAC
Molecule: non-coding RNA, 269 nt
Organism: Phascolarctos cinereus (koala)
Lineage: Eukaryota; Metazoa; Chordata; Mammalia; Diprotodontia; Phascolarctidae
Source: RefSeq, a predicted model, not a curated record